GCUGUGGUAGCUCAGUGGUAGAGCACUCCCUUGGUAAGGGAGAGGUCGAGAGUUCAAACCUCUCUCGCAGCACCA
Molecule: transfer RNA, 75 nt
Filed under: Nitratireductor sp.
Lineage: Bacteria; Pseudomonadati; Pseudomonadota; Alphaproteobacteria; Hyphomicrobiales; Phyllobacteriaceae
Description: tRNA-Thr
Rfam family: tRNA
About the family: Transfer RNA (tRNA) molecules are approximately 80 nucleotides in length. Their secondary structure includes four short double-helical elements and three loops (D, anti-codon, and T loops).
Source: RNAcentral